UGGGGAAUAUUGCACAAUGGGCGAAAGCCUGAUGCAGCGACGCCGCGUGAGGGAUGACGGCCUUCGGGUUGUAAACCUCUUUCAGCAGGGAAGAAGCGAAAGUGACGGUACCUGCAGAAGAAGCGCCGGCUAACUACGUGCCAGCAGCCGCGGUAAUACGUAGGGCGCAAGCGUUGUCCGGAAUUAUUGGGCGUAAAGAGCUCGUAGGCGGCUUGUCACGUCGGGUGUGAAAGCCCGGGGCUUAACCCCGGGUCUGCAUUCGAUACGGGCAGGCUAGAGUGUGGUAGGGGAGAUCGGAAUUCCUGGUGUAGCGGUGAAAUGCGCAGAUAUCAGGAGGAACACCGGUGGCGAAGGCGGAUCUCUGGGCCAUUACUGACGCUGAGGAGCGAAAGCGUGGGGAGCGAACAGGAUUAGAUACCCUGGUAGUCCACGCCGUAAACGGUGGGAACUAGGUGUUGGCGACAUUCCACGUCGUCGGUGCCGCAGCUAACGCAUUUAACG
This 501-nucleotide ribosomal RNA is filed under the name uncultured Actinomycetes bacterium. Its description in RNAcentral is "bacterial SSU rRNA". It matches the Rfam family "Bacterial small subunit ribosomal RNA", at positions 355 to 866 of the family's 1533-position model. The record is from RNAcentral. Lineage: Bacteria; Bacillati; Actinomycetota; Actinomycetes.